GAGUUUGAUCAUGGCUCAGAUUGAACGCUGGCGGCAGUGCCUUACACAGUGCAAGUCGAACGGCAGCACGGGAGCUUGCUCCUGGUGGCGAGUGGCGAACGGGUGAGUAAUGCAUCGGAACGUAUCCUGGAGUGGGGGAUAACGUAGCGAAAGUUACGCUAAUACCGCAUAUUCUGUGAGCAGGAAAGCGGGGGACCUUCGGGCCUCGCGCUCUUGGAGCGGCCGAUGUCGGAUUAGCUAGUUGGUGAGGUAAAGGCUCACCAAGGCGACGAUCCGUAGCAGGUCUGAGAGGAUGAUCUGCCACACUGGAACUGAGACACGGUCCAGACUCCUACGGAGGCAGCAGUGGGGAAUUUUGGACAAUGGGGCAACCCUGAUCCAGCCAUGCCGCGUGAGUGAAGAAGGCCUCGG
RNAcentral lists this ribosomal RNA (411 nucleotides) under bacterium enrichment culture clone ALO1_GLFRUDD03GU5TB. RNAcentral describes it as "bacterial SSU rRNA". It matches the Rfam family "Bacterial small subunit ribosomal RNA", at positions 9 to 420 of the family's 1533-position model. The record is from RNAcentral.